UUCAUUUGCGUAUACAGAAACUUAAAAUCUUCAGUGUCCAAAAACCCUUUCAACUAUUUUUUUCUUCCCUUUCUUAGAAACAGGAAGUUGUGUUUGGCUGAGGACAGACUCUUUCAAUGCCCCUGGGACUUACAAGAUGUUUGGAAUGAGGAACGAUCUGUUUUCUGAGUCCCUGGGCUGCAGCUGUUGAAUUUCCAGACACAAACAAGUAUGCGUCCUGUGAGCCUUGCCGAGCCCACACAGCCGGGGAGAGCCAAGCUGGAUUCCAUUCUGCUUUGCACAUCAGUGGCUCUGCUGCCAGCGAGCUCCGGGGCAAAAGCUGUGCCUGAUAACGAUGCAGGCGGUGUGGAUGGCACUGAUGGCCUGACUGCGCCCUCAGUGGGGGGACACACUUGGCCUGGAGUAUUUGGGGGCACAGUGAGAAAUGGAAGGGGAUAAAGAGCUGCAGAAACGUUCAUCGGCCUCAACAAAAUUGGUGCACAGCAAGGAAACAGUCUGGUUUUGCAAGUCAU
This is a long non-coding RNA of Nycticebus coucang (slow loris), 512 nucleotides long. RefSeq lists it as uncharacterized. The record is from RefSeq and is a predicted model, not a curated record. The transcript has 2 exons. Lineage: Eukaryota; Metazoa; Chordata; Mammalia; Primates; Lorisidae.